GCGGGUGAUCCGGACGGUGACCUGGUCGCCGUGUUUGACGUACAUGAGUGCCUUGAUAUCGGCGCCCUUGCCGGCGUUCGAUCCGCUGCCGCCCGCACC
This 99-nucleotide transfer RNA is filed under the name Streptomyces hiroshimensis. RNAcentral's name for it is "tRNA-Val". Lineage: Bacteria; Bacillati; Actinomycetota; Actinomycetes; Kitasatosporales; Streptomycetaceae. The record is from RNAcentral.